GGCGAGAUGGCCGAGCGGUCUAAGGCGCUGUGUUAAGGUGACUCCCUCCUUCGAGCAUCAAGGAAGAGCUCAUCCGCAGUCUUCGGACGUGGGUUCGAAUCCCACUCUCGUCA
Apiotrichum porosum is the source of this 113-nucleotide non-coding RNA. Lineage: Eukaryota; Fungi; Basidiomycota; Tremellomycetes; Trichosporonales; Trichosporonaceae. The record is from the annotation of a RefSeq genome assembly.